UACGUAGGGUGCGAGCGUUAAUCGGAAUUACUGGGCGUAAAGCGUGCGCAGGCGGUCUGUUAGGACCGAUGUGAAAUCCCCGGGCUUAACCUGGGAACUGCAUUGGUGACUGGCAGGCUUUGAGUGUGGCAGAGGGAGGUAGAAUUCCACGUGUAGCAGUGAAAUGCGUAGAGAUGUGGAGGAAUACCGAUGGCGAAGGCAGCCUCCUGGGCCAACACUGACGCUCAUGCACGAAAGCGUGGGGAGCAAACAGG
Molecule: ribosomal RNA, 254 nt
Filed under: uncultured bacterium
Lineage: Bacteria
Description: partial 16S ribosomal RNA
Rfam family: Bacterial small subunit ribosomal RNA
Source: RNAcentral